This 824-nucleotide ribosomal RNA is filed under the name Tyrannochthonius sp. P15. RNAcentral describes it as "partial large subunit ribosomal RNA". It matches the Rfam family "Eukaryotic large subunit ribosomal RNA", at positions 40 to 656 of the family's 3401-position model. The record is from RNAcentral. Lineage: Eukaryota; Metazoa; Arthropoda; Arachnida; Pseudoscorpiones; Chthoniidae.
AUAUUAUUAAGUGGAGGAAAAGAAACCAAAAGGGAUUCCCCCAGUAGCGGCGAGCGAAAAGGGAUCAGCCCAAAGCCGAAUCCCGUGCCCUUUGGACACCGGGAAAUGUGGCGUAUGGGAGGCGUAUUUCAGAUUGAUGGAGGCGACUCAAGUCCCCAUGAAUGGGGCUAUGACCGAAGUGGGUGUGAGUCCCGUUCAGUCGCUCUCCUCUUUCUGAGCAUCGUCCUCCCGGGAGUCGGGUUGCUUGAAAGUGCAGCCCAAAGUGGGUGGUAUGCUCCACCUAAGGCUAAAUAUCCCCGAGAGACCGAUAGCAAAAAAGUACCGUGAGGGAAAGUUGAAAAGAACUUUGAAGAGAGAGUUCAAUAGUACGUGAAACCGCUUAGAGGUAAACGGGUGGGCCCUCGAAGUCCGAAGGCAGAUAGAUUCAGUUGGUGGCAUUAUCGAACGAUCUGGCUGUGGAUUGCGCACGUCAUCGAGUAGAUGUCGCUUUCCUUGUUGAGAUCCGUGCCCUGGCGCACUUCUAAUCUGCCCGUAGGAGGCCGCGACCGGUUGGUUGACGUUUGGAAGGACAGUUUAGUGACAGGUGGCCUACCUCGCUUCCGUGAGGUGGGUGUUACAGCACUUUACAGUAUAGCCGACCGUUGUGCCGACCGGACACGAGAGAACCUCGCUUUACGUUCCCUAUAUCGUGAUUGUUCGUAAUUUGCCUAUGGGGUCGGAUACACACACGAGGUGUUUCGACUUACAUUGCGCGAUUUGUGGGCAAUCUCGUGUGGAGCUAGAGGUCUGCGGUCAGUAGGCCGGGUCCCACCCGACCCGUCUUG